Molecule: ribosomal RNA, 859 nt
Filed under: Candidatus Onthoplasma faecipullorum
Lineage: Bacteria; Bacillati; Bacillota; Clostridia; Christensenellales; Christensenellaceae
Description: bacterial SSU rRNA
Rfam family: Bacterial small subunit ribosomal RNA
Source: RNAcentral
UUUUUGUAGAGUUUGAUCCUGGCUCAGGACAAACGCUGGCGGCGUGCUUAAGACAUGCAAGUCGAACGGAGGUUAAGUGUUCCAUUAAGUGUUCUCAAUCAAAGGAUUGUUAGCAAGUUUAAAACUAGUGUGUACAUUGGUUUUAGCGUUAUGCGUAGGGCAUUUAAUGGAAUGCUUACCCUUAGUGGCGGACGGGUGAGUAACGCGUGAGUAAUCUACCUCUAUCUGGGGGACAACAGUUGGAAACGACUGCUAAUACCGCAUAGGACCACAGGCACUUGAGGUGCUAGGGGUGAAAGAUUUAUCGAAUAGAGAUGAGCUUGCGUAGCAUUAGUUAGUUGGUGGGGUAACGGCCUACCAAGACGAUGAUGCUUAGCCGAUCUGAGAGGAUGAUCGGCCACACUGGAACUGAGACACGGUCCAGACUCCUACGGGAGGCAGCAGUUAGGAAUAUUGGGCAAUGGAGGAAACUCUGACCCAGCAACGCCGCGUGAAGGAUGAAGGUCCUCGGAUUGUAAACUUCUGUAUUAGGGGAAGAAGAAAGUGACGGUACCCUAAUAGAAAGCUUCGGCAAACUACGUGCCAGCAGCCGCGGUAAGACGUAGGAAGCAAGCGUUGUCCGGAAUUACUGGGCGUAAAGGGUGCGUAGGCGGUCUUUUAAGUCUGAUGUGAAAUCCUGUGGCUUAACCAUAGAACUGCAUCAGAUACUGGGAGACUAGAGUGCGGAAGAGGUUGACGGAAUUACUAGUGUAGCGGUAGAAUGCGUAGAUAUUAGUAAGAAGACCGGUGGCGAAGGCGGUCAACUGGGACGUAACUGACGCUGAGGCACGAAAGCGUGGGGAGCAAACAGGAUUAGAUA